Solea senegalensis (Senegalese sole) is the source of this 979-nucleotide long non-coding RNA. RefSeq lists it as uncharacterized. Lineage: Eukaryota; Metazoa; Chordata; Actinopteri; Pleuronectiformes; Soleidae. The transcript has 3 exons. The record is from RefSeq and is a predicted model, not a curated record.
GUCAGUCACAAGUAAAGAAGCCUCCUGGAGAAAAGUGUGGCCCAGAGCGACAGGAAGGGCUUUCUGUGUGGAGUUUGCAUUUCCUCCACAUAAGCUCGUGGGUUUCCUUCCCAGUUUCCUCCUCUUGUGCAGAGGUGAAUAAGACAAGUCGAGGGUCAGACAAGUUGUUGUCCUGGCUUGCGUCAUCUGGGACCUCCGGUACCGGCUGCUGCUGCAGUGAACAGGCGAGACUUCACAUACUGUUGUACAUUUGCCCUUUGGUCAACUGGUUGAAUUUUGGCCACAGGAAUGUUACCGGUUUGGGGAGUGGUGCGCAAAACCAGUGUGCAUGCUGUUGACGCACGGCUGCCAGCUGUGCAGUAUCGUUGGCAUUUUGGUGGCAAUGAUUCGUUCUUCCUAUGGCAGCACAAGAUGCAGAGUGGGAUAUUUGUUCCCCUCCAGUUCACGCUGAGCAUCAUAAAGGGCUCCAAGGGUUUGUCAGGCGGGCCGAACCCGUUGAGAACUCUAAUUCACAUGAUCAUAAUACUGAGGUUUGGAAGACGUGCAAUUCCGCUGCAAUUCUAAAAAGCUGAAAUAUGGCUCUUAUUAAGCACGCUGAAUAAGUGGAAGGUGACAUGUUAGCCCACACAAGAAAGUUAUGUUAAUGAAUCUAUAACUCACAGGUUCAAGUUGCUCCACUGUGACGUCAGCGUUUUUUUAACGCCGUUUUUUUACAUUUUACAUUUUUCAGAUUUAUUUAAGCACAAUUUCAUGAAACUGUAUGAUCAAACAAAGCGUAACUUUUAUAAAUGGGCAAAUCUUACAAUCUCCCUUGCGGGUGGAAUUAAUAUUGUGAGAAUGACUAUCUUACCAAAGUACUUUUUUCAGUGCAUUCCUGUUCUCAUUAAUAACGCCUUCUUUGCCAAACCAGACUCAGCCAUAUCUCAAUUUAUCUGGAAUAAAAAACCUCCAAGAAUUAAGAAAGCGUUUCUUUAAGUCU